This 393-nucleotide ribosomal RNA is filed under the name uncultured bacterium. RNAcentral describes it as "partial 16S ribosomal RNA". It matches the Rfam family "Bacterial small subunit ribosomal RNA", at positions 523 to 918 of the family's 1533-position model. The record is from RNAcentral.
AUGCGGAAGGUCCGGGCGUUAUCCGGAUUUAUUGGGUUUAAAGGGAGCGCAGGCGGAGAUGCAAGCGUGACGUCAAAUUUCGGGGCUCAACCCCGUCUCGCGUCGCGAACUGCGUCCCUUGGUUGCGGGAAGGGGAGGCGGAACUCGUGGUGUAGCGGUGAAAUGCAUAGAUAUCACGAAGAACUCCGAUCGCGAAGGCAGCCUUCCGGCCCGUCAACGACGCUCAUGCUCGAAGGUGCGGGUAUCAAACAGGAUUAGAUACCCUGGUAGUCCGCACAGUAAACGAUGGACACCCGCGGUUUGGCCUGUAUGGCUGAGCCGCCAAGCGAAAGCGUUAAGUGUCCCACCUGGGGAGUACGCCGGCAACGGUGAAACUCAAAUGAAUUGACGGGG